RNAcentral lists this ribosomal RNA (443 nucleotides) under uncultured bacterium. RNAcentral's name for it is "partial 16S ribosomal RNA". It matches the Rfam family "Bacterial small subunit ribosomal RNA", at positions 338 to 795 of the family's 1533-position model. The record is from RNAcentral.
CCUACGGGAGGCAGCAGUGGGGAAUAUUGGGCAAUGGAGGAAACUCUGACCCAGCAACGCCGCGUGAAUGAUGAAGGUCUUCGGAUUGUAAAGUUCUUUUCUAAGGGAAGAAGAAAGUGACGGUACCUUAGGAAUAAGCCUCGGCUAACUACGUGCCAGCAGCCGCGGUAAUACGUAGGAGGCAAGCGUUAUCCGGAAUGACUGGGCGUAAAGGGGGCGUAGGGGGUUUGACAAGUUGGUAGCGUAACUCCGGGGCUCAACCUCGGCACUACUACCAAAACUGUCGGACUUGAGUGCAGGAGGGGCAAAUGGAAUUCCUAGUGUAGCGGUGGAAUGCGUAGAUAUUAGGAGGAACACCAGGGGCGAAGGCGAUUUGCUGGACUGUAACUGACACUGAGGCACGAAAGCGUGGGGAGCAAACAGGAUUAGAUACCCCAGUAGUC